This 446-nucleotide ribosomal RNA is filed under the name uncultured bacterium. Its description in RNAcentral is "SSU rRNA". It matches the Rfam family "Bacterial small subunit ribosomal RNA", at positions 26 to 518 of the family's 1533-position model. The record is from RNAcentral.
AGAACGAACGCUGGCGGCAUGCCUAACACAUGCAAGUCGAACGAGACCUUCGGGUCUAGUGGCGCACGGGUGCGUAACGCGUGGGAAUCUGCCCUUGGGUUCGGAAUAACAGUUAGAAAUGACUGCUAAUACCGGAUGAUGACUUCGGUCCAAAGAUUUAUCGCCCAAGGAUGAGCCCGCGUAAGAUUAGGUAGUUGGUGGGGUAAAGGCCUACCAAGCCGACGAUCUUUAGCUGGUCUGAGAGGAUGAUCAGCCACACUGGGACUGAGACACGGCCCAGACUCCUACGGGAGGCAGCAGUGGGGAAUAUUGGACAAUGGGCGAAAGCCUGAUCCAGCAAUGCCGCGUGAGUGAUGAAGGCCUUAGGGUCGUAAAGCUCUUUUACCCGGGAUGAUAAUGACAGUACCGGGAGAAUAAGCCCCGGCUAACUCCGCGCCAGCAGCCGC